Molecule: ribosomal RNA, 362 nt
Filed under: uncultured Oerskovia sp.
Lineage: Bacteria; Bacillati; Actinomycetota; Actinomycetes; Micrococcales; Cellulomonadaceae
Description: bacterial SSU rRNA
Rfam family: Bacterial small subunit ribosomal RNA
Source: RNAcentral
UUCGGGGGACAGGGUGACAGGUGGUGCAUGGUUGUCGUCAGCUCGUGUCGUGAGAUGUUGGGUUAAGUCCCGCAACGAGCGCAACCCUCGCCUCUAGUUGCCAGCAUUCGGUUGGGCACUCUAGAGGGACUGCCGGCGACAAGUCGGAGGAAGUGGGGAUGACGUCAAAUCAUCAUGCCCCUUAUGUCUUGGGCUUCACGCAUGCUACAAUGGCCGGUACAAAGGGCUGCGAUACCGCGAGGUGGAGCGAAUCCCAGAAAGCCGGUCUCAGUUCGGAUUGGGGUCUGCAACUCGACCCCAUGAAGUUGGAAUCGCUAGUAAUCGCGGAUCAGCAUGCCGCGGUGAAUACGUUCCCGGGCCUU